This 645-nucleotide ribosomal RNA is filed under the name uncultured bacterium. RNAcentral describes it as "bacterial SSU rRNA". It matches the Rfam family "Bacterial small subunit ribosomal RNA", at positions 34 to 694 of the family's 1533-position model. The record is from RNAcentral.
CGCUGGCGGCGUGCUUAACACAUGCAAGUCGAGCGAUGAAGUUUCCUUCGGGAAAUGGAUUAGCGGCGGACGGGUGAGUAACACAUGGGUAACCUGCCUCAUAGAGUGGAAUAGCCUUCCGAAAGGGAGAUUAAUACCGCAUAACGUUGAAAGAUGGCAUCAUCAUUCAACCAAAGGAGCAAUCCGCUAUGAGAUGGACCCGCGGCGCAUUAGCUAGUUGGUGGGGUAACGGCCUACCAAGGCGACGAUGCGUAGCCGACCUGAGAGGGUGAUCGGCCACAUUGGGACUGAGACACGGCCCAGACUCCUACGGGAGGCAGCAGUGGGGAAUAUUGCACAAUGGGGGAAACCCUGAUGCAGCAACGCCGCGUGAGUGAUGAAGGUUUUCGGAUCGUAAAGCUCUGUCUUUGGGGAAGAUAAUGACGGUACCCAAGGAGGAAGCCACGGCUAACUACGUGCCAGCAGCCACGGUAAUACGUAGGUGGCAAGCGUUAUCCGGAUUUACUGGGCGUAAAGGGAGCGUAGGCGGAUGAUUAAGUGGGAUGUGAAAUACCCGGGCUCAACUUGGGUGCUGCAUUCCAAACUGGUUAUCUAGAGUGCAGGAGAGGAGAGUGGAAUUCCUAGUGUAGCGGUGAAAUGCGUAGA